AUUGAACGCUGGCGGCAUGCUUUACACAUGCAAGUCGAACGGUAACAGGCCGCAAGGUGCUGACGAGUGGCGAACGGGUGAGUAAUGCAUCGGAACGUGCCCAGCCGUGGGGGAUAACUACUCGAAAGAGUAGCUAAUACCGCACACGAUCUAUGGACGAAAGCGGGGGUCCGGAAGGCCUCGCGCGAUUGGAGCGGCCGAUGUCAGAUUAGGUAGUUGGUGGGGUAAAGGCUCACCAAGCCCACGAUCUGUAGCUGGUCUGAGAGGACGAUGGGCCACACUGGGACUGAGACACGGCCAAGACGCCUACGGGAGGCAGCAGUGGGGAACGUGAGACAACGGGCGCAAGUCUGAUCCAGCAAUGCCGCGUGUAGGACGAAGGCCUUCGGGUUGUAAACUGGUUUUGUACGGAACGAAACGGCUCUGGUUAAUACCCGGGGUGAAUGACGGUACCGUAAGAAUAAGCACCGGCUAACUACGUG
This 482-nucleotide ribosomal RNA is filed under the name uncultured bacterium. Its description in RNAcentral is "partial 16S ribosomal RNA". It matches the Rfam family "Bacterial small subunit ribosomal RNA", at positions 29 to 507 of the family's 1533-position model. The record is from RNAcentral.